RNAcentral lists this long non-coding RNA (230 nucleotides) under Elaeis guineensis (African oil palm). Its description in RNAcentral is "long non-coding RNA (EGUI_LNC000226)". The record is from RNAcentral. Lineage: Eukaryota; Viridiplantae; Streptophyta; Magnoliopsida; Arecales; Arecaceae.
GGUAAUUAUUUAGCUACACCUGAUUAGUUUGUCAUGUGUUUGUUCCACCUACAAUAGUGUACAAUUUGGUGCAUCCUGUCUGGGGAUUAUAUAUUAUUUUCCUCUAUCAUGCACAUCCACUCAUUAUUUUAUGAUCGGACAAGCAAUGAGGAAAACCAACCACGCGGCUCCAUUGGUAAAAUGUUGAUUGAGACGAUUAAUAAAAUUGCAACCUUGUCGACUAUUGGUGA